GGAGGCGAAUGUGUCCCGGUGGGCGCCCCGGACUUCAAAUCCGGUGGGAGGCGGUAUAGGCCGUCUCCGGUGGGUUCGACCCCCACACGCCUCCGCCA
This 98-nucleotide transfer RNA is filed under the name Synergistaceae bacterium. RNAcentral describes it as "tRNA-Sec". It matches the Rfam family "Selenocysteine transfer RNA". Lineage: Bacteria; Thermotogati; Synergistota; Synergistia; Synergistales; Synergistaceae. The record is from RNAcentral. RNAcentral also lists the same sequence under 2 other names.